This 301-nucleotide ribosomal RNA is filed under the name uncultured bacterium. Its description in RNAcentral is "partial 16S ribosomal RNA". It matches the Rfam family "Bacterial small subunit ribosomal RNA", at positions 509 to 807 of the family's 1533-position model. The record is from RNAcentral.
CAGCAGCCGCGGGAAUACGUAGGGUGCAAGCGUUAAUCGGAAUUACUGGGCGUAAAGCGUGCGCAGGCGGUUUUGUAAGACAGAGGUGAAAUCCCCGGGCUCAACCUGGGAACUGCCUUUGUGACUGCAAGGCUAGAGUACGGCAGAGGGGGAUGGAAUUCCGCGUGUAGCAGUGAAAUGCGUAGAUAUGCGGAGGAACACCGAUGGCGAAGGCAAUCCCCUGGGCCUGUACUGACGCUCAUGCACGAAAGCGUGGGGAGCAAACAGGAUUAGAUACCCCGGUAGUCCCUGUCUCUUAUAC